RNAcentral lists this ribosomal RNA (429 nucleotides) under uncultured bacterium. Its description in RNAcentral is "bacterial SSU rRNA". It matches the Rfam family "Bacterial small subunit ribosomal RNA", at positions 355 to 796 of the family's 1533-position model. The record is from RNAcentral.
UGGGGAAUAUUGCACAAUGGGCGAAAGCCUGAUGCAGCGACGCCGCGUGAGGGAUGACGGCCUUCGGGUUGUAAACCUCUUUCAGCAGGGACGAAGCGAGAGUGACGGUACCUGCAGAAGAAGCACCGGCCAACUACGUGCCAGCAGCCGCGGUAAUACGUAGGGUGCAAGCGUUGUCCGGAAUUACUGGGCGUAAAGAGCUCGUAGGCGGUUUGUCGCGUCGUCUGUGAAAACUCGAGGCUCAACCUCGAGCUUGCAGGCGAUACGGGCAGACUUGAGUACUGCAGGGGAGACUGGAAUUCCUGGUGUAGCGGUGAAAUGCGCAGAUAUCAGGAGGAACACCGGUGGCGAAGGCGGGUCUCUGGGCAGUAACUGACGCUGAGGAGCGAAAGCGUGGGUAGCGAACAGGAUUAGAUACCCGCGUAGUCC